GGGACGGAAGUGGUUUCACCCAGGUGUUGACCGGACACUGCGCCCUCGCCGCCGCGCCCCUAGCCUCGCUGGCUGGGAUCGCGGCCUCUCUGCACGCCCACCCUCACCCCCCCGGGGGGCUCUUCCACGAGAGUCCAAGAGACCCCUCCAAGGGCCCAGAGACCUUACAGAAAAAACAGGAAGAUUUCCUGAAGAUUGGCAGGGGACUCCUGGCACUAAGAGCCAUGGAGGAGGCCACUCUAUGCUGGGGACGCCCAGAUACACGCCACACAAAAAGCCACAAUCCCACCUGCAAGAAAGAAUGACUUCUUUCAUUGACUUCUUUCAAUGACUUCUUUCAAUGACUUGCUGCCUCUGCGGGCAGCCAGAAAGGCAGAUGGGCGCUGGGUUUGGAUACAGGGUGGUGAAAAAGUGUAAGUGGAGAGCGGUGAUGGUUGCAUAGCAAUGUGAAGGUACUUUGAAGGAUUUAAAGUAGUUACAAUGGUAACUUUUAUUGCGGGUAUUUUACCACACACAAACACAAAACAUACUGUAUCAAUGAAAAAAAAAAAAGAGGGUUUUGUGAAGCCGCAGUAUUAUUACUAUUAUAAUUAAUGUUAGCCAGAGAAUUAAAAUUAUUUGGAGAAUAAAACAUGGCCACAAACCCU
Molecule: long non-coding RNA, 647 nt
Organism: Bubalus bubalis (water buffalo)
Lineage: Eukaryota; Metazoa; Chordata; Mammalia; Artiodactyla; Bovidae
Exons: 2
Source: RefSeq, a predicted model, not a curated record